Molecule: ribosomal RNA, 496 nt
Filed under: uncultured bacterium
Lineage: Bacteria
Description: partial 16S ribosomal RNA
Rfam family: Bacterial small subunit ribosomal RNA
Source: RNAcentral
GAUGAACGCUGGCGGCGUGCCUAAUACAUGCAAGUCGAGCGAACAGACGAGGAGCUUGCUCCUCUGACGUUAGCGGCGGACGGGUGAGUAACACGUGGAUAACCUACCUAUAAGACUGGGAUAACUUCGGGAAACCGGAGCUAAUACCGGAUAAUAUAUUGAACCGCAUGGUUCAAUAGUGAAAGACGGUUUUGCUGUCACUUAUAGAUGGAUCCGCGCCGCAUUAGCUAGUUGGUAAGGUAACGGCUUACCAAGGCGACGAUGCGUAGCCGACCUGAGAGGUUGCUCGGCCCACCGGAACCGAGGACCCGGCCCAGCCCCGUCAGGGAGCCACGAGUGGGAAUCCUUCCGGAGGGGGCAGAGGCCGGACGGAGCAACUCGGCGGGAGUGAUGAGGGUCUUCGGUGCGUAAACCUCUUUUAUUAGGGAAAAAAAAAGUUUUAGGUAACUAGCCCCUUCUUGCCGUUCCCAAAUAAGAAAGCCCCGCCUACUUACUU